RNAcentral lists this ribosomal RNA (492 nucleotides) under uncultured bacterium. RNAcentral's name for it is "partial 16S ribosomal RNA". It matches the Rfam family "Bacterial small subunit ribosomal RNA", at positions 29 to 507 of the family's 1533-position model. The record is from RNAcentral.
AGUGAACGCUGGCGGUAGGCCUAACACAUGCAAGUCGAACGGCAGCACGGUAAGAGCUUGCUCUUACGGGUGGCGAGUGGCGGACGGGUGAGGAAUACAUCGGAAUCUACUUUUUCGUGGGGGAUAACGUAGGGAAACUUACGCUAAUACCGCAUACGACCUACGGGUGAAAGCAGGGGAUCUUCGGACCUUGCGCGAUUGAAUGAGCCGAUGUCGGAUUAGCUAGUUGGCGGGGUAAAGGCCCACCAAGGCGACGAUCCGUAGCUGGUCUGAGAGGAUGAUCAGCCACACUGGAACUGAGACACGGUCCAGACUCCUACGGGAGGCAGCAGUGGGGAAUAUUGGACAAUGGGCGCAAGCCUGAUCCAGCCAUACCGCGUGGGUGAAGAAGGCCUUCGGGCUGUAAAGCCCUUUUGUUGGGAAAGAAAAGCAGCAGGUUAAUACCCCGCUGUUCUGACGGUACCCAAAGAAUAAGCACCGGCUAACUUCGUG